This 867-nucleotide long non-coding RNA is filed under the name Bos mutus (wild yak). Its description in RNAcentral is "lncRNA (ENSBMUG00000020733.1)". The record is from RNAcentral. Lineage: Eukaryota; Metazoa; Chordata; Mammalia; Artiodactyla; Bovidae.
GACAGAGGGGAAAAAAUAUCUAAUGAACAGUGUAUUUCGCCCCUUCCCCAGUGAGCUGCACCUCGGUGGCAAUUACUUGCAAUGUUCUGGAGCUCUGGGUCUCCUCAGACCCCUGGCAGAGUAUGCAGAGAUACAGGGGAAAGACCAACUGGCCAUUUCCUCACCAGACACUGGGAACCCCCCUCCGCUGCUCCAAGCCAGACAGAGAGGAAGUUCACCUCUGAACCAGAUUGCAGAGUCAUCCAGGGCUGUAACAGUGAAACCUACCUCAGGGAAGAAGAGAAAAAAAGAGAGAAAAACUCAAGUGCAGAAAAAGACUCAGUGUCUGAUGGCUUCAUAUAAACCUAGUACUGACCAGCUUAGCCAUACCCACGGGAACUAUAACCACAAGAGGAAUAUGACUCUGCCACAUUCAACAAGUCCAAAAAAAAAAAAAAAAAUUACAGAAACACUCUGCAAUAAACAGAAGGCCUGAUAAAUUCAGCUUGGAAACUCUUUUCCUCUGCUCAUUCCUUAGAGGUAGAAAUGGAGCACAUACCUUGAGAAAACCACAAUCCAAAAAGACACAUGCACCCCAAUGUUUAUUGCAGCGCUAUUUGCAAUAGCCAGGACACGGAAGCAACCUAGAUGUCCAUCGACAGAUGAAUGGAUAAAGAGGCUGUCGUACAUAUAUACAAUGGAAUAUUACUCAGCCAUAAAAAGGAACAAAUUUGAGUCAGUUGUAGUGAGGUGGAUGAACCUAGAGCCUUUUAUCCAGAGUGAAGUAAGUCAGAAAGAGAAAAGCAAAUAUUGUAUAUUAACACACACGCACACACACAUGUAUGUGGAAUCUAGAAAAACAGUCUGCUGGACAUGGCAGGGGAAGGC